GCAUGGACCGACCCAAACAGGUGUGUUGCAUCUUUUUCCAACGCCCAGAGCGUAAUAUAGGAGGUGCCUACAUUGGCCGGCCCAGUCCGGACAUUUUCUUGUUUGAAAUGUUUUUUAUGACUUAUAGGUGGCAUUGAUGGGUAAUAUUAGUCAACUUUAAGGGCAAUUUGAAUGACGUACGGAAGAAGCACUAUUUGCUUUAUUAUUAGGUAAAAAAUGAAACAGAAAAAUGAAAAUAAAAAAUGAGACUAAAAACAGAGGCACGAACUGUUUUUAAGAUUUUUACACGGACUUUGUUUAAAAUCGUUGACUUUUUUAUUUUAUGGACAUUUUCUCAAAGUUUAAACAUUUUUUUAUAUGCAAACAUUUUUCAAAACUCCUGAGUAGUUU
Molecule: long non-coding RNA, 390 nt
Filed under: Hordeum vulgare
Lineage: Eukaryota; Viridiplantae; Streptophyta; Magnoliopsida; Poales; Poaceae
Description: long non-coding RNA (HVUL_LNC002858)
Source: RNAcentral